Molecule: long non-coding RNA, 862 nt
Filed under: Homo sapiens (human)
Lineage: Eukaryota; Metazoa; Chordata; Mammalia; Primates; Hominidae
Description: HSALNT0357935
Source: RNAcentral
GUCACACUCAACUUACAGCAAUUUAUCUGAAUUACCAUUCAGGUGAUCCAUCCACUUUUUAGUUCCGUGGUUCCUGCUCCAGAAGACAAGGACAAACUGAUACAUCAUCAAAAGAAUUUAUUUAGCCAGAGUGAAUACAUUCUUCUUUAUCCUCAUUGUCUUUAUGGAAACCUCCAAAUGAGCAGCAGUGCACAUCUAUAAAGGAUACAUGGAUGAUUCAGAGAAAAAAAAGUGACCAUGAUUUGGUAAAGUGAAGGUACAGGACAUCCUGGAAGCUGAGCAGAGGGGCAUGGAGCCGUUCCAUCCCAGACGAAGCGGCAUCCCAUGCCUAUGGGCUGAGAAGCAAAUGCUCCCAGCCAAAUGUUCCAUCACAAUCAACAAAUACAAGAGGAUCCACUGCCAGAAGCUGGAGUUGAAUUUAUCUUUCCCUUAUUCUUUACCUCAGAUCUGCAACCUCCUGUCUGGCCCCCACAGGGUCCAGCCCUCCUUCUGUGAUUUCUUCAAACUGACACCCUGGAGGCUGUUGAUGAGAGGACACCCUCUGGUGAGGAGACACUGGGUUCACAGUCCAAAGGCAGAGUACCAGUCAUACUCAAGGUGAAGAAAAAUUGCACACAGUAGGCCCGAGACUAUUAUUUUUAGAGGCCUACUUGCAAGGUUGGCCUUUGGCUGAAGUCUGGGAGCUUGUAUUUCUCAAGAGUUCCCACCAUUCCCAGAACUUACAAGAGUGGCUCACUGUACCUAAACUGUUAUACAAACAAUAUGAUUUAUGCUAAACACCUCUUUUCCUUCUAGGAGUCCGGAAUUUUGGUGCAUGCUAGGCAGAAAGUGACCAACAUCCAAUAAAAACUUUGGACACUCA